ACGAACGCUGGCGGCGUGCCUAACACAUGCAAGUCGAACGGAGUAUAAAGGAAGCUUGCGAAUUUAUACUUAGUGGCGGACGGGUGAGUAACGCGUGGAUAACCUGCCUGAUAGCCUGGGAUAACAGCUGGAAACGGCUGCUAAUACCGGAUACGCUUGCGGAGUCGCAUGGCUUUGCAAGGAAAGCUUUCGUGCUAUCAGAUGGAUCCGCGUCCCAUUAGCUAGUUGGUGGUGUAGAGGACCACCAAGGCGACGAUGUGUAGCCGGCCUGAGAGGGCGAACGGCCACACUGGGACUGAGACACGGCCCAGACUCCUACGGGAGGCAGCAGUGGGGAAUCUUCCGCAAUGGGCGAAAGCCCUGACGGAGCAACGCCGCGUGAGGGAAGAAGGCCUUCGGGUUGUAAACCUCUGUUUUCAGGGAAGAAGAAAGUGACGGUACCUGAAGAGUAAGCUCCGGCUAACUACGUGCCAGCAGCCGC
Molecule: ribosomal RNA, 481 nt
Filed under: uncultured bacterium
Lineage: Bacteria
Description: bacterial SSU rRNA
Rfam family: Bacterial small subunit ribosomal RNA
Source: RNAcentral